Molecule: transfer RNA, 75 nt
Filed under: Sulfurovum sp.
Lineage: Bacteria; Pseudomonadati; Campylobacterota; Epsilonproteobacteria; Campylobacterales; Sulfurovaceae
Description: tRNA-Thr
Rfam family: tRNA
About the family: Transfer RNA (tRNA) molecules are approximately 80 nucleotides in length.
Source: RNAcentral
GCCCAUAUGGCUCAGGGGUAGAGCACUUCCUUGGUAAGGAAGAGGUCGUGGGUUCAAGUCCCACUAUGGGCUCCA